AUGGACGGUGACGGUCUCGUGAAUGGCUUGUCUGGCGCCACGCACGGCGGGGCUGAGGACGCCGCGUCUAGGGCGGCCAACCGUGCCGCUGCCGCUCCAGGGGAAGGGGACCGCCAGGAGAGAGCCCGGCCGACGUGGGCCGAGGGUGAGACGGGUGAAACGAAGGGCGGAGUCUGGCAGGACCGCAAGCUGCAUCAGCAGACCUUGAAAUGUAGAAGAGCACAACAGAACUCCGAGGAAUGGAAGCGAUACAAAAGACCACCUUCUGAACAAGAAUACUCUGAGGAUGUUAGUCAGCUCCGCCAUGGUCUAAAUGUAGAGCCUAGCAGGGAGGAGCUCAAUCAUUUGUCAAAAGCAUGCUGUCGGCUAUGGGAGCUUGACCUGAACCGUCUCCUCCCUGGUAACGACUACAGAAUCGAAUGUGGCCAAGGGAAGAAGGAUGACGUGCUGCGGAGGCCUACAUACUCUCGCUUUUGUGCACUUCUUCACAACUACAACCCACGCCAAGGAUACAAGGAAUUAGUCACCCAGCAGGACAAGAAUGAAGAAGCUGCUCUUAUUGAGGAGAUUGCUAGAAGUGCACCAAUCAAAUACUUAGACCGGUAUCUGGUGCUGAAGGGAACCACGUCUCAGGACCAGGAGGACUUCAAGAAAAUGUUGAUUUGUAUGGAAGGGGUGGAUGCUCUGGUAGCUCUGUUUUACCUGGAAGAAUCCAAAGGCAAUGUUGAUUACCAAGGGUACAUAUUUCCAAGGAAAUGCGGGGACCUGCCAGGCUCUGAGACGCAGCUACUCACCUGUCAGUUUGAGUGGCAUGGCUUGCUGAAAUCUGUAUCCAGCACAUUGGUUGGUGUCAGUCCUGAGUUUGAGAUUGCACUCUACACACUCUGCUUCUUCGCUGGAGAGGAAAAUAACCAUGUCCAUGUGGGUCCAUAUGCGAUGAACAUCAAGUGCUACAGGAUGGGGGUUAACAAGAUCGGAUCAGCUUUCCCUGUCGCAGAACAUUGA
This 1005-nucleotide ribosomal RNA is filed under the name Triticum aestivum (bread wheat). RNAcentral describes it as "partial small subunit ribosomal RNA". Lineage: Eukaryota; Viridiplantae; Streptophyta; Magnoliopsida; Poales; Poaceae. The record is from RNAcentral.